RNAcentral lists this transfer RNA (73 nucleotides) under Acropora cervicornis. RNAcentral describes it as "tRNA-Gly". The record is from RNAcentral. Lineage: Eukaryota; Metazoa; Cnidaria; Anthozoa; Scleractinia; Acroporidae.
GGCCUAAUAGCUCAACUGAUUGCCCACUGCACUGCCAUUACAGAGGCCAGGGUUCAAACCCUUGUUCAGGCCA